This 294-nucleotide ribosomal RNA is filed under the name uncultured Comamonadaceae bacterium. RNAcentral's name for it is "partial 16S ribosomal RNA". It matches the Rfam family "Bacterial small subunit ribosomal RNA", at positions 1 to 307 of the family's 1533-position model. The record is from RNAcentral. Lineage: Bacteria; Pseudomonadati; Pseudomonadota; Betaproteobacteria; Burkholderiales; Comamonadaceae.
CGCUGAGUUUGAUCCUGGCUCAGAUUGAACGCUGGCGGCAUGCCUUACACAUGCAAGUCGAACGGUAGAGGGGCAACCCUUGAGAGUGGCGAACGGGUGAGUAAUAUAUCGGAACGUGCCCAGUCGUGGGGGAUAACGUAGAGAAAUUUACGCUAAUACCGCAUACGAUCUAAGGAUGAAAGCGGGGGACCGUAAGUCCUCGCGCGAUUGGAGCGGCUGAUAUCAGAUUAGGUAGUUGGUGAGGUAAUGGCUCACCAAGGCGACGACGGGUAGCCGGCCUGAGAGGGCGACCGG